RNAcentral lists this ribosomal RNA (468 nucleotides) under uncultured bacterium. RNAcentral describes it as "partial 16S ribosomal RNA". It matches the Rfam family "Bacterial small subunit ribosomal RNA", at positions 28 to 507 of the family's 1533-position model. The record is from RNAcentral.
GACGAACGCUGGCGGCGUGCUUAACACAUGCAAGUCGAACGGAAAGGCCCUGCUUUUGUGGGGUGCUCGAGUGGCGAACGGGUGAGUAACACGUGAGUAACCUGCCCUUUACUUUUGGAUAACUUCAGGAAACUGGGGCUAAUACCGGAUAGGAGCUCCUGCUGCAUGGUGGGGGUUGGAAAGUUUCGGCGGUUGGGGAUGGACUCGCGGCUUAUCAGCUUGUUGGUGGGGUAGUGGCUUACCAAGGCUUUGACGGGUAGCCGGCCUGAGAGGGUGACCGGCCACAUUGGGACUGAGAUACGGCCCAGACUCCUACGGGAGGCAGCAGUGGGGAAUAUUGCACAAUGGGCGGAAGCCUGAUGCAGCAACGCCGCGUGCGGGAUGACGGCCUUCGGGUUGUAAACCGCUUUCGCCUGUGACGAAGCGUGAGUGACGGUAAUGGGUAAAGAAGCACCGGCUAACUACGUG